This 254-nucleotide ribosomal RNA is filed under the name uncultured bacterium. RNAcentral's name for it is "partial 16S ribosomal RNA". It matches the Rfam family "Bacterial small subunit ribosomal RNA", at positions 524 to 776 of the family's 1533-position model. The record is from RNAcentral.
UACGUAGGCAGCGAGCGUUGUUCGGAUUUACUGGGCGUAAAGGGUGUGUAGGCGGUUGUUUAAGUUUGGUGUGAAAUCUCCCGGCUCAACUGGGAGGGUGCGCCGAAUACUGAAUGACUUCGAGUGCGGGAGAGGAGAGUGGAAUUCCUGGUGUAGCGGUGAAAUGCGUAGAUAUCAGGAGGAACACCGGUGGUGUAGACGGCUCUCUGGACCGUAACUGACGCUGAGACACGAAAGCGUGGGUAGCAAACAGG